Molecule: ribosomal RNA, 485 nt
Filed under: uncultured bacterium
Lineage: Bacteria
Description: bacterial SSU rRNA
Rfam family: Bacterial small subunit ribosomal RNA
Source: RNAcentral
CCAGAAAUGGAAAAGUGCCGCAAGGAACUCGGUGACAGGUGCUGCAUGGUUGUCGUCAGCUCGUGCCUUGAGGUGUUCGGUUAAGUCCGUGAACGAGCGCAACCCUUGUCUUGUGUUGUAUGUUUCACAAGAGACUGCCGACUUUAAGUCGGAGGAAGGUAAGGAUGACGUCAAAUCAGCAUGGCCCUUAUGUCUGGGGCUACACACGUGCUACAAUGGCCAGUACAGAGGGCAGCAAACCCGCAAGGGGGAGCCAAUCCUUAAAACUGGUCCAAGUUCGAAUUGAGGGCUGCAAUUCGCCCUCAUGAAGUUGGAAUCGCUAGUAACCGCGUAUCAGCAAUGACGCGGUGAAUCUGUUCCUGGGUCUUGUACUCACCGCCCGUCACGUCAUGAAAGGUGGGGGCACCCGAAGUACCGUUAGCAUUUAAGCGCGGUCCUAAGGUGAAACCACUGAUUGGGACGAAGUCGUAACAAGGUAGCCGUAG